This is a long non-coding RNA of Cryptomeria japonica (Japanese cedar), 1669 nucleotides long. RefSeq lists it as uncharacterized. The record is from RefSeq and is a predicted model, not a curated record. The transcript is spliced from 4 exons. Lineage: Eukaryota; Viridiplantae; Streptophyta; Pinopsida; Cupressales; Cupressaceae.
CGGUUCUUUCUUUGUUUUUGUUUGUUCGUUUAAUUUUCAUGUGUUGUAUAUUUUUGGGCAUGGCCAUGCCUCUGUUUUGAGUCUUUCUCUAUUCUGAGUUUUGGUUUUAAAUUUUCAUUAUGGGUUUUUUAAUUUCCUGAUCCUUACUUUUUCUGUUUGUAUCCUAUGUUUUAAUUUUUGUGACCAUGGGCAAAAAGACUCGAGCUAGCCAAACUGUGUGUGUUACAGGAGCAGGAGGGUUUGAUGCUUCAAGGCAUGUGAAGCUGCUAUUGGAACAGUUCGCAAUCUAGGGUACAGUAUAAGGAGGAGGAGGAGAAAGAAGCGGAAUUACACAUCACAACUAUCAAGAAUUAAACCACCAGAGCUUACGUAAUACCAAUAAGAAUUGCAUCGAACAACAUAUAAACAAUAUCAGGUGCUAUUUCAGAGGAAAUGGCCUCUUCUCAUAUUUGAUCCAUAUGAAAUGCACUUUCAGAUUGUUGCUCUCUUUGUAAUUUGUGCAAAUGGAAAUUGCUUAUAUUUCUUGUGAAGGCACCUGCAACACAAUCACGUGGAGUGCAAGAUGCUAUAUAACCUCCAAAUUCCAAAAUAGCUCAGGUACCACUCAAUCACUAUAUUUACAUGAAUAGUGAAUACGUAAAUAUUAAAUAUAUUUCAAGAUGUUUGUGUAUUACCAUUUCCCAUGACUAUUGUUGUUGUCACCAUAAAAAAAUUUAGCCACUUCUAAAUGAAGCAGCUGCAAAUGCAAUGCAAAUACUGCUCCCAAGCUCAGCUGAAGGAGAUUUGGCUUCCAUCUGCUUAUGGAUUAAUAUAGUUUGUUCUAUACAUCCUCUAUCUUAUUGUUUACACUUUGCCGAUCCUCCUGGUGUCUAUAACUAUAAGUGCAACCAUUAAGUGAAUUUUUUUUCAAUCGUAAGCUCUUAUCUUAUAUGUAGUGUCUACAUUAAGUGCAUUGUCCUUGGAAAUGUGUGUUAUAGGAGCUAUCAACUAUAGGUUACUCUUUCAAGCAAGGAUUCAUCCCCACCAUUCAUUUUGGUGUUUAUUAUUUUCUUUAUCACAAUUGUUGGUAUUAUGAUUGUGGGAUAUUGUCUUUCAUCUUUUUGCCUCUCAUGUUUGAUCAUUUGUUGAAUGUCCCUCAAAAACAAAAAAAACACAGCCUAUCGGCUUUUUGUUGCACGAAAAAAAGUGUGCAACUGCUAGUUGUUAAUUGUUUAGAUUGUGUUGUUCCUUUUUUUAAUCAAUAAGUUGCAACAACCACUGUCUCCAAGUGUAAUAUUCUCGCGAGUUUAAGGCCAAAUUUUACACUACUCUAUAAUUUUGUCAAACAUUUUGGAUGCUUCCUUAAUUAUGUUUGGAAAUACUUCAUUGUCAUUACUAUCUUUGGAGGUAUAAAUUAGAAAUGCACCUAAACUUUUUACACUACUCUAUAAUUUUGUCAAACAUUUUGGAUGCUUCCUUAAUUAUGUUUGCAAAUACUUCAUUGUCAUUACUAUCUUUGGAGGUAUAAAUUAGAAAUGCACCUAAACUUUUUGUGUUUCAGUUAUAAGCGUUCUUCUAGAGAAUGCUACAUAAACUUAUAUUUUAGUUAUGUAGAUUGCUAUAAUUUUACUCUCUUUUGUAGUGCAGUAAUGUUUUCCCUAGUUAUUCAAGGAUACUAAUGUAAAUUUUC